AGCCGAUGAAGGACGGGACUAACACCGAUAUGGUUCGGGGAGCUGUAAGUAAGCUUUGNACACCGAUAUGCUUCGGGGAGCUGUAAGUAAGCUUUGAUCCGGAGAUUUCCGAAUGGGGGAACCCACUGUUCGUAAUGGAGCAGUAUCUUUACCUGAAUACAUAGGGUAUUGAAGGCAUACCCGGGGAACUGAAACAUCUAAGUACCCGGAGGAAGAGAAAGCAAACGCGAUUCCCUGAGUAGCGGCGAGCGAAACGGGACAUAGCCCAAACCAAGAGGCUUGCCUCUUGGGGUUGUAGGACACUCAAUAUGGAGUUACAAAGGAACGGGGUAGAUGAAGCGACCUGGAAAGGUCCGUCAUAGAAGGUAAAAACCCUGUAGUUGAAACUUCGUUCCCUCCUGAGUGGAUCCUGAGUACGGCCGGACACGUGAAAUCCGGUCGGAAGCAGGGAGGACCAUCUCCCAAGGCUAAAUACUCCCUAGUGACCGAUAGUGAACCAGUACCGUGAGGGAAAGGUGAAAAGCACCCCGGAAGGGGAGUGAAAUAGUUCCUGAAACCGUGUGCCUACAAGUAGUCAGAGCCCGUUUAUGGGUGAUGGCGUGCCUUUUGUAGAAUGAACCGGCGAGUUACGAUCCCAUGCAAGGUUAAGUUGAAGAGACGGAGCCGCAGCGAAAGCGAGUCUGAAUAGGGCGUUUUAGUAUGUGGUCGUAGACCCGAAACCAGGUGAUCUACCCAUGUCCAGGGUGAAGUCCAGGUAACACUGGAUGGAGGCCCGAACCCACGCACGUUGAAAAGUGCGGGGAUGAGGUGUGGGUAGCGGAGAAAUUCCAAUCGAACUUGGAGAUAGCUGGUUCUCUCCGAAAUAGCUUUAGGGCUAGCCUCACGUUGUUAGAGUCUUGGAGGUAGAGCACUGUUUGGACUAGGGGCCCUCAUCGGGUUACCGAAUUCAGACAAACUCCGAAUGCCAAAGACUUAUCCGUGGGAGUCAGACUGCGAGUGAUAAGAUCCGUAGUCAAAAGGGAAACAGCCCAGACCACCAGCUAAGGUCCCAAAGUAUACGUUAAGUGGAAAAGGAUGUGGAGUUGCUUAGACAACCAGGAUGUUGGCUUAGAAGCAGCCACCAUUUAAAGAGUGCGUAAUAGCUCACUGGUCGAGUGACUCUGCGCCGAAAAUGUACCGGGGCUAAACGUAUCACCGAAGCUGUGGAUUGACAUCGUAGAUGUCAGUGGUAGGAGAGCGUUCUAAGGGCGUUGAAGCUAGACCGUAAGGACUGGUGGAGCGCUUAGAAGUGAGAAUGCCGGUAUGAGUAGCGAAAGAUGAGUGAGAAUCUCAUCCACCGAAUGCCUAAGGUUUCCUGAGGAAGGCUCGUCCGCUCAGGGUUAGUCGGGACCUAAGCCGAGGCCGAAAGGCGUAGGCGAUGGACAACAGGUUGAUAUUCCUGUACCACCUCUUUAUCGUUUGAGCAACGGGGGGACGCAGGAGGAUAGGGUAAGCGCGCUGUUGGAUAUGCGCGUCUAAGCAGUUAGGCUGCUAAUGAGGAAAAUCCCAUUACCGUGAAGGCUGAGCUGUGACAGCGAGGGAAAUUUAGUACCGAAGUUCCUGAUUCCACACUGCCAAGAAAAGCCUCUAGCGAGAUAAAAGGUGCCCGUACCGCAAACCGACACAGGUAGGCGAGGAGAGAAUCCUAAGGUGAGCGAGAGAACUCUCGUUAAGGAACUCGGCAAAAUGACCCCGUAACUUCGGGAGAAGGGGUGCUCUUUAGGGUUCAUAGCCCUGAAGAGCCGCAGUGAAUAGGCCCAGGCGACUGUUUAGCAAAAACACAGGUCUCUGCGAAGCCGCAAGGCGAAGUAUAGGGGCUGACGCCUGCCCGGUGCUGGAAGGUUAAGAGGAGGGGUUAGCUGCUAAGCGAAGCUCUGAAUCGAAGCCCCAGUAAACGGCGGCCGUAACUAUAACGGUCCUAAGGUAGCGAAAUUCCNUACGCGAAGCUCUGAAUCGAAGCCCCAGUAAACGGCGGCCGUAACUAUAACGGUCCUAAGGUAGCGAAAUUCCUUGUCGGGUAAGUUCCGACCCGCACGAAAGGCGUAACGAUCUGGGCACUGUCUCAACGAGAGACUCGGUGAAAUUAUAGUACCUGUGAAGAUGCAGGUUACCCGCGACAGGACGGAAAGACCCCGUGGAGCUUUACUGCAGCCUGAUAUUGAAUUUUGGUACAGCUUGUACAGGAUAGGUAGGAGCCUGAGAAGCCGGAGCGCUAGCUUCGGUGGAGGCGUCGGUGGGAUACUACCCUGGCUGUAUUGAAAUUCUAACCCGCACCCCUGAAUCGGGGUGGGAGACAGUGUCAGGCGGGCAGUUUGACUGGGGCGGUCGCCUCCUAAAGAGUAACGGAGGCGCCCAAAGGUUCCCUCAGAAUGGUUGGAAAUCAUUCGCAGAGUGUAAAGGCACAAGGGAGCUUGACUGCGAGACCUACAAGUCGAGCAGGGACGAAAGUCGGGCUUAGUGAUCCGGUGGUUCCGCAUGGAAGGGCCAUCGCUCAACGGAUAAAAGCUACCCCGGGGAUAACAGGCUUAUCUCCCCCAAGAGUCCACAUCGACGGGGAGGUUUGGCACCUCGAUGUCGGCUCAUCGCAUCCUGGGGCUGUAGUCGGUCCCAAGGGUUGGGCUGUUCGCCCAUUAAAGCGGUACGCGAGCUGGGUUCAGAACGUCGUGAGACAGUUCGGUCCCUAUCCGUCGUGGGCGCAGGAAAUUUGAGAGGAGCUGUCCUUAGUACGAGAGGACCGGGAUGGACGCACCGCUGGUGUACCAGUUGUCUUGCCAAAGGCAUCGCUGGGUAGCUAUGUGCGGACGGGAUAAGUGCUGAAAGCAUCUAAGCAUGAAGCCCCCCUCAAGAUGAGAUUUCCCAUAGCGUCAAGCUAGUAAGAACCCUGAAAGAUGAUCAGGUUGAUAGGUCAGAGGUGGAAGCNUCCCAUAGCGUCAAGCUAGUAAGAACCCUGAAAGAUGAUCAGGUUGAUAGG
RNAcentral lists this ribosomal RNA (3010 nucleotides) under Neobacillus vireti. RNAcentral describes it as "bacterial LSU rRNA". It matches the Rfam family "Bacterial large subunit ribosomal RNA". The record is from RNAcentral. Lineage: Bacteria; Bacillati; Bacillota; Bacilli; Caryophanales; Bacillaceae.